Molecule: ribosomal RNA, 459 nt
Filed under: uncultured bacterium
Lineage: Bacteria
Description: partial 16S ribosomal RNA
Rfam family: Bacterial small subunit ribosomal RNA
Source: RNAcentral
CCUACGGGAGGCAGCAGUGAGGAAUAUUGGUCAAUGGGCGCGAGUCUGAACCAGCCAAGUCGCGUGAGGGAAGACGGUCCUAUGGAUUGUAAACCUCUUUUGUCGGGGAGCAAAAGACGCCACGCGUGGCGUUCCGAGAGUACCAGAAGAAAAAGCAUCGGCUAACUCCGUGCCAGCAGCCGCGGUAAUACGGGGGAUGCGAGCGUUAUCCGGAUUUAUUGGGUUUAAAGGGUGCGCAGGCGGAAGAUCAAGUCAGCGGUAAAAUUGAGAGGCUCAACCUCUUCGAGCCGUUGAAACUGGUUUUCUUGAGUGAGUGAGAAGUAUGCGGAAUGCGUGGUGUAGCGGUGAAAUGCAUAGAUAUCACGCAGAACUCCGAUUGCGAAGGCAGCAUACCGGCGCUCAACUGACGCUCAUGCACGAAAGUGUGGGUAUCGAACAGGAUUAGAUACCCCUGUAGUC